Molecule: long non-coding RNA, 1059 nt
Filed under: Oryctolagus cuniculus (rabbit)
Lineage: Eukaryota; Metazoa; Chordata; Mammalia; Lagomorpha; Leporidae
Description: lncRNA (ENSOCUG00000036916.1)
Source: RNAcentral
AGCAGGCACCGCGGGGCAACGCCCCCAAGCAGGCUCCAGGGACUGGGUGCUGGGUGCUGCGCCCCGCGCCCCGCCCGGCACUCCCGCGGAGCGGCCCACGCGCGCCCGGGGCCCCGCGCCCCCGGCCCGUCCACAGCUGCUCCGCAGCCCCUCCCGGCCCCGCCCGUCCGCCGUUACCUGCUGUCGGGGGCGGCUUCCCCCACACACCACCCCCGGCUCCGGGGACGGCGGCCGCUGGUCCCGCGGCUCUCACAUGAGGCCCCUGGGGCCCCCUGCUUCGCGCUCCCGCGGCCGCGGCCCCCCGUGCGAAGCCCGCAUCCGAGGCGCUGGUCCCCCGGCGGGCGCCAACGCGGCUCCACCUUUGCAAGUCUGGCUGCCCCGACGAGACGCCUUCCUUCUCAGUCCCGCGCUGUCUACGUCUCGGCCCCGGGACUCCCAGUCGCUGCCAGAGGCUCCCCGCUCAGCCAGCUGCAGCCGCCGCGUAGCUCUCCAGCUCUUCGGCCCAGACACCGAGUCCAAAAUGGCGCCCGGGGCUCGCGGGCGCGCGCUUUCCCCGGCGCGUCCCCGCCCGAGGGGGCGGGCGCGUGUCCGCCGCGGAGGGGGCGGGGCGCGGAGGAAGCCCCGCCUGGGCGAGAGCGCGCGCCGCGCGGCGUCCGCCUCCCGGGUUCCUCAAGGGGCCGCGGCUCCGGCGGUCAGGGGACGUCUUGUUUGGGAGCGCAAUGUGGGCAGGCUGGCGCUAGCUCGACGCGGUUCAGACUGGAAAGUGUAAGGAGGUGGAGCAGCCAAAAGCAGGAGGGCGUGUCCCAGGAGCGUGGGGCACUCCGGGCCGCGGGACGGUGGACAGUCGCCGGCGGCAGCGACACCCCUCCGCUCCUGCGGGGGUCAGCACGGGGCCCCAGUGGAGCCGGGCAUCAGACCUACAGAUGUGGUGGCGGAAAGAUUGCAAGGACGCUGGGAUUACAGAUAGUUUUCAAAACACUCGUGAUUCCCGAUUUUCCUAAAGUCUUUAUCAACCGAGUUACUACUCUCGUGAGAAACCACCUUUCCUUCAUGAAGUAG